GGUCGGGUAGCUCAGUCGGUAGAGCAGAGGACUGAAAAUCCUCGUGUCGGCGGUUCGAUUCCGUCCCCGACCA
Molecule: transfer RNA, 73 nt
Filed under: Spirochaetota bacterium
Lineage: Bacteria; Pseudomonadati; Spirochaetota
Description: Spirochaetes bacterium (freshwater sediment metagenome) tRNA-Phe
Rfam family: tRNA
About the family: Transfer RNA (tRNA) molecules are approximately 80 nucleotides in length.
Source: RNAcentral